This 495-nucleotide ribosomal RNA is filed under the name uncultured bacterium. RNAcentral describes it as "partial 16S ribosomal RNA". It matches the Rfam family "Bacterial small subunit ribosomal RNA", at positions 28 to 507 of the family's 1533-position model. The record is from RNAcentral.
GACGAACGCUGGCGGCGUGCCUAAUACAUGCAAGUAGAACGCUGAAGGAGGAGCUUGCUUCUCUGGAUGAGUUGCGAACGGGUGAGUAACGCGUAGGUAACCUGCCUGGUAGCGGGGGAUAACUAUUGGAAACGAUAGCUAAUACCGCAUAAGAGUAGAUGUUGCAUGACAUUUGCUUAAAAGGUGCAAUUGCAUCACUACCAGAUGGACCUGCGUUGUAUUAGCUAGUUGGUGGGGUAACGGCUCACCAAGGCGACGAUACAUAGCCGACCUGAGAGGGGGAUCGGCCACACUGGGACUGAGACACGGCCCAGACUCCUACGGGAGGCAGCAGUAGGGAAUCUUCGGCAAUGGACGGAAGUCUGACCGAGCAACGCCGCGUGAGUGAAGAAGGGUUUCGGAUCGUAAAGCUCUGUUGUAAGAGAAGAACGAGUGUGAGAGUGGAAAGUUCACACUGUGACGGUAGCUUACCAGAAAGGGACGGCUAACUACGUG